This 322-nucleotide ribosomal RNA is filed under the name uncultured bacterium. RNAcentral describes it as "bacterial SSU rRNA". It matches the Rfam family "Bacterial small subunit ribosomal RNA", at positions 28 to 334 of the family's 1533-position model. The record is from RNAcentral.
GACGAACGCUGGCGGCGUGCUUAACACAUGCAAGUCGAGCGGAGACAUUUAGCGGAAGUUUUCGGAUGGAAGCUGAAUGUUUUAGCGGCGGACGGGUGAGUAACGCGUGAGCAACCUUUCCUCUACUGGGGAAUAACACAGGGAAACUUGUACUAAUACCGCAUGGGACCACGGCCUGGCAUCGGGCUGAGGUGAAAGAUUUAUGGUAGAGGGUGGGCUCGCGUCCGAUUAGGUAGUUGGUGAGGUAACGGCCCACCAAGCCGACGAUCGGUAGCCGACCUGAGAGGGUGAUCGGCCACAUUGGGACUGAGACACGGCCCAA